Callorhinus ursinus (northern fur seal) is the source of this 202-nucleotide long non-coding RNA. RefSeq lists it as uncharacterized. The record is from RefSeq and is a predicted model, not a curated record. Lineage: Eukaryota; Metazoa; Chordata; Mammalia; Carnivora; Otariidae.
UGUAGCGUGUUCCACACUACCCAAGACAGCACUUCAUGGUGUCCCGUAGUCUCUGUUCAGCAGGAUAUGAUUCUAACGAAAAAACUUUCGAUAAAAUUCUUAUUGCUAAUAGAGGAGAAAUUGCAUGUAGGGUUAUUAAAACUUGCAAGAAGAUGGGCAUUAAGACGGUUGCCAUCCAUAGUGAUGUUGAUGCUAGUUCCGU